RNAcentral lists this ribosomal RNA (1471 nucleotides) under Neisseria meningitidis. RNAcentral's name for it is "bacterial SSU rRNA". It matches the Rfam family "Bacterial small subunit ribosomal RNA". Lineage: Bacteria; Pseudomonadati; Pseudomonadota; Betaproteobacteria; Neisseriales; Neisseriaceae. The record is from RNAcentral.
UUGAACGCUGGCGGCAUGCUUUACACAUGCAAGUCGGACGGCAGCACAGAGAAGCUUGCUUCUUGGGUGGCGAGUGGCGAACGGGUGAGUAACAUAUCGGAACGUACCGAGUAGUGGGGGAUAACUGAUCGAAAGAUCAGCUAAUACCGCAUACGUCUUGAGAGAGAAAGCAGGGGACCUUUGGGCCUUGCGCUAUUCGAGCGGCCGAUAUCUGAUUAGCUGGUUGGUGGGGUAAAGGCCUACCAAGGCGACGAUCAGUAGCGGGUCUGAGAGGAUGAUCCGCCACACUGGGACUGAGACACGGCCCAGACUCCUACGGGAGGCAGCAGUGGGGAAUUUUGGACAAUGGGCGCAAGCCUGAUCCAGCCAUGCCGCGUGUCUGAAGAAGGCCUUCGGGUUGUAAAGGACUUUUGUCAGGGAAGAAAAGGCUGUUGCUAAUAUCAGCGGCUGAUGACGGUACCUGAAGAAUAAGCACCGGCUAACUACGUGCCAGCAGCCGCGGUAAUACGUAGGGUGCGAGCGUUAAUCGGAAUUACUGGGCGUAAAGCGGGCGCAGACGGUUACUUAAGCAGGAUGUGAAAUCCCCGGGCUCAACCCGGGAACUGCGUUCUGAACUGGGUGACUCGAGUGUGUCAGAGGGAGGUAGAAUUCCACGUGUAGCAGUGAAAUGCGUAGAGAUGUGGAGGAAUACCGAUGGCGAAGGCAGCCUCCUGGGACAACACUGACGUUCAUGCCCGAAAGCGUGGGUAGCAAACAGGAUUAGAUACCCUGGUAGUCCACGCCCUAAACGAUGUCAAUUAGCUGUUGGGCAACUUGAUUGCUUAGUAGCGUAGCUAACGCGUGAAAUUGACCGCCUGGGGAGUACGGUCGCAAGAUUAAAACUCAAAGGAAUUGACGGGGACCCGCACAAGCGGUGGAUGAUGUGGAUUAAUUCGAUGCAACGCGAAGAACCUUACCUGGUCUUGACAUGUACGGAAUCCUCCAGAGACGGAGGAGUGCCUUCGGGAGCCGUAACACAGGUGCUGCAUGGCUGUCGUCAGCUCGUGUCGUGAGAUGUUGGGUUAAGUCCCGCAACGAGCGCAACCCUUGUCAUUAGUUGCCAUCAUUCAGUUGGGCACUCUAAUGAGACUGCCGGUGACAAGCCGGAGGAAGGUGGGGAUGACGUCAAGUCCUCAUGGCCCUUAUGACCAGGGCUUCACACGUCAUACAAUGGUCGGUACAGAGGGUAGCCAAGCCGCGAGGCGGAGCCAAUCUCACAAAACCGAUCGUAGUCCGGAUUGCACUCUGCAACUCGAGUGCAUGAAGUCGGAAUCGCUAGUAAUCGCAGGUCAGCAUACUGCGGUGAAUACGUUCCCGGGUCUUGUACACACCGCCCGUCACACCAUGGGAGUGGGGGAUACCAGAAGUAGGUAGGGUAACCGCAAGGAGUCCGCUUACCACGGUAUGCUUCAUGACUGGGGUGAAGUCGUAA